Molecule: small nuclear RNA, 277 nt
Filed under: Choloepus hoffmanni (Hoffmann's two-fingered sloth)
Lineage: Eukaryota; Metazoa; Chordata; Mammalia; Pilosa; Megalonychidae
Description: 7SK RNA (ENSCHOG00000015840.1)
Rfam family: 7SK RNA
About the family: 7SK was discovered as an abundant small nuclear RNA in the mid-70s but a possible function has only recently been suggested. Two independent studies have found that 7SK RNA binds the CDK9/cyclin T complex (known as elongation factor P-TEFb).
Source: RNAcentral
AGUGUUUACUGUGUGAUCUGGCUGCGGCAUCUCUCAUCCCAUCAAUCACCAGGUUGAUUCGGCUGACCUGGUGGCUGGGCGGGAGUGUACCCUUUCUCCCUCACUGCUCUAUGUGCAUCUCUCCCGAUGCUCGAAGAGGAUGGCCAUCCCUGCUAGCGGUCAAGGGUAUAUUAGUAGCUAUGUUGCCCUACUUGAACCUCAAAACAAGCUCUCAAGAUUGCAUUUUAAAAGUACCCUUAUACCUGACUUCUUUGGCAAUCAUUUUUAUGUUGCCAGU